CCCCUUUUAGCGAUUUUUCGCAUUUGCUGUAGAUGACAUUCGACAGUUGAUUAUGGCAUGCAAGAGACAAGAUCUUGACAGAGAUGCUUCCUUACGCUUAAACAAACAUGAAUGCAGUAUAUUUACCUAAAGGAGAAUGAAAAUGUUUGGUGACAACUGUGUUUAUCAGGAGCGACAACAAUAGUUCAAAUUCUAAAAAUAUCCACCAACACAUCUUUUUUAUACGCCUGUCUAAGACAAAUGUUAUGGCACGAAGCGGGACAGGCGGACGGAUACGAUACCCUUCAGAAUGAACAGAAAAUGUGAAAAUAAAAAUGCAUCAUUUGAAA
Ostrea edulis (European flat oyster) is the source of this 329-nucleotide long non-coding RNA. RefSeq lists it as uncharacterized. The transcript is spliced from 2 exons. The record is from RefSeq and is a predicted model, not a curated record. NCBI's taxonomy places the organism in Eukaryota, Metazoa, Mollusca, Bivalvia, Ostreida, Ostreidae.